This 968-nucleotide long non-coding RNA is filed under the name Homo sapiens (human). RNAcentral's name for it is "non-protein coding SNHG7:5". The record is from RNAcentral. Lineage: Eukaryota; Metazoa; Chordata; Mammalia; Primates; Hominidae.
CUCUGCGUGCGCCGGAGGCUGCCGUGGCGGGUGGGCCGCCUGACUUCUCCUCCCGGCCAGUUCUCGAGCGCCUCACCGGGCCUCGCCCUGCAGCCUCGCUCUCGCUGGCGCUGCGCGGCCUAGGGGACUGGGCUGCUGGCCUCCGGGUGCGGGGUGGGGGCAGGCUCCGACCUGGGGCGUCCUGGCCGCGCGAGCCGCGGGAUGGGGGCCCGGGCCGCGGAGGAGGCGCCGCUGGUGUGUCCCUUGGUGGAGAGGGCGCUGCCGGCCCUGCGCGGUUUCCAGCCAGGAAGCUUCGGGAAGCCUGGACGUCUGCUCACUGGAGAUGACACGUGCGUGGGGUGUUGGCAUUCUUGUUAUUUAACACGGGAAGGAGGUGACUUCGCCUGUGAUGGACUUCCAGUGUGAGCACUGGCCAGAGUGACCAGGCUGACCAGCACCAGCCCUGAUCCAGAUGCAGAGGCCAGGAUGUGGGCCCAGCCCUGUGCCAGGAGGCUGGCUGGAAUAAAGGUACAGAUAGAGGCCUCACCCCCUCUGGGACCACUGGCACUCAGGGUGUUUGCAGCCUCAGAGCCCACCUGCCCCCAGGGCCACAGCUGCAUCUCCUGCCCUGCUGUCAUUACAGGGAUGGGCAGGCUGGCAUGGGGGCAGCCGCUGCCCCUGCCUGGGUGUUGCUGUGUAUUCCUGCCGGCCAGGGGCCACUGCCAGGACCACGCCUCCCUUUUCAUAUCCCGAUUCUUAAGUUCUGCUAUUGUGGUAUUCUGGUGGAGAAAAAAGAACCGCGUGGCUGUUUUUGAACUGCCUGGAACCUAAGACCCUGAAUUCUUUUCCCCCCCAAGGGGAAAAUCUAUAUGGAAAACAUUUAUUUUAAAAUACAGGAUGAAGUGAAUUAAAAGAUUUAAAUGCACAUUUCUUUAAGGAUAAUAUUUCUGUGUUGGCAAAAUUUGAGAGUAAAUUGGUCUUGAAUGGAA